RNAcentral lists this ribosomal RNA (823 nucleotides) under uncultured eukaryote. RNAcentral describes it as "SSU rRNA". It matches the Rfam family "Eukaryotic small subunit ribosomal RNA", at positions 629 to 1428 of the family's 1831-position model. The record is from RNAcentral.
CGGUGUUUAACUGGCGUGAUGUGGGACGUCCUACCGGUGGGCUUAGCCUCGCGAGGGGCGGCCCAACUAAUAUCCCGUCGCGGUGCUCUUUACUGAGUGUCGAGUCGGGCCGGUACGUUUACUUUGAACAAAUUAGAGUGCUUAAAGCAGGCUAUCCUCGCCUGAAUACUGCGUGCAUGGAAUAAUGGAAUAGGACCUCGGUUCUAUUUUGUUGGUUUUCGGAACCCCCGAGGUAAUGAUUAAUAGGGACAGAUGGGGGCAUUCGUAUUGCGACGUUAGAGGUGAAAUUCUUGGAUCGUCGCAAGACGGACAGAAGCGAAAGCAUUUGCCAAAAAUGUUUUCAUUAAUCAAGAACGAAAGUUAGAGGUUCGAAGGCGAUCAGAUACCGCCCUAGUUCUAACCAUAAACGAUGCCAGCUAGCGAUCCGCCGAAGUUCCUCCGAUGACUCGGCGGGCAGCUUCCGGGAAACCAAAGCUUUUGGGUUCCGGGGGAAGUAUGGUUGCAAAGCUGAAACUUAAAGGAAUUGACGGAAGGGCACCACCAGGAGUGGAGCCUGCGGCUUAAUUUGACUCAACACGGGAAACCUCACCAGGCCCAGACACCGGAAGGAUUGACAGAUUGAUAGCUCUUUCUUGAUUCGGUGGGUGGUGGUGCAUGGGCCGUUCUUAGUUGGUGGAGCGAUUUGUCUGGUUAAUUCCGAUAACGAACGAGACUCUAGCCUGCUAAAUAGGCGUACCUUAUGGUAUCGCGAAGGCCCCCGGCUUCGGCCGGUGGGUUUUUACUACCAACGUACAAACAAAUCUUCUUAGAGGGCACAGCGCGG